AUGUCGCUGGGAAAUGACGGUAUCUGAAUGGUCGCCACCAACUUCACAGCUGAAAACGCUUAGCCUUCUUUGAAAAUCAUAUAGGCUUGUCAUAGAUGUUUCAAGUAGUGGUGGGCGUUCGGAUACCCGUUCGGGUUCGGGUCGGGUAUUUUGAAUGUUCGGAUAUUUCGAUAUAGAAGCAUAAAACCCAUUUGAGCAUUUCUACACUUCGGGUCGAGUUCGGGUAUUUUUAGUUCGGAUUCGGGUAUUUCGGAUAUAACCGAA
Molecule: long non-coding RNA, 264 nt
Filed under: Brassica napus (rape)
Lineage: Eukaryota; Viridiplantae; Streptophyta; Magnoliopsida; Brassicales; Brassicaceae
Description: long non-coding RNA (BNAP_LNC013872)
Source: RNAcentral